CCAGCCCGAGGCGCACGCCGAGCCCCGGCCAGCCGCGCUGCGCGUCCUCGGGCCUCGGGGGCGGCUGCACCCCAAAUGCCCCCUCGCCGUCCCACGGGGCCACCAACUAUCCUAGCGGGCGAGGAAGAGGCGGCGGGAAAAGGAGAGGAAGGAGGGCGCGAGCGGCGGCGGGCGCGAGAAGGCAGGACCCACGCCCGCCCGGAGCAUCACGUACCUUCAGCUCCUCGAUGUCCAGCCAGCGCUAAGGGGAUUUCUCUCAUCUGUCAAAAAGCAACAUUUCCUCUCCAGACGGAUACGGUGCUGCUGGGUCUUAAAGACUGCCCUCUGCCCAGAAUCCACAUCCCCAGGAAUGCCAUGGAGAUGCCUCACCAGUGUCCAAGAUGGUUCCCUGACUAUAGCGUGGCAUCCAUCACGUCCCCCUUCUGUGGCCCCUC
RNAcentral lists this long non-coding RNA (434 nucleotides) under Vulpes vulpes (red fox). RNAcentral's name for it is "lncRNA (ENSVVUG00000019548.1)". Lineage: Eukaryota; Metazoa; Chordata; Mammalia; Carnivora; Canidae. The record is from RNAcentral.